CGAUACAUUGAUUUCAUUAAUAGAUUAAACAAUUAACAUCAAGUAAAUAGUUUUAGGGAUGAAACAGUAAUUUUGCAUUAUUAAAAAUACAAAAUUAUGGAAGUACCCCAGUUUUUUUCUCCUCUCCCUCAUCCUCUACUUAUGCCUUCUCCUUCGAUUUUGGUUUUCGAAGCUUCUUCCGUUACCUACCCUCGCCAGUGACGUUGAAACUAUCAAGACCCGCUGACCAACUCCUCACCCCUCGGCAAGCACAAACCAACAACUUGUGAUUUGGUGACCAAACGCAAGAGAUCCCUUUCGCGACCUGUAUGGAGAGGACAUAGACGCAAGAGCAUCAAGCAAAAUAAGAUUCUUAGCUUGCCAAGCUAAGGGUAGAAGAACUAGAACAAGGGAUUGUUGGUGAGGCAAGCAUCGUAGCAAAGGCACAGGUUGAGGUUACUGAAGCGAGGCAAGCAGCUGCAAUUUUAAAACUCAAAUCUAUUAAUGCAGAAUUGGAAAAAUUAAAAAAUCUUCGGAUACUUCACCAUCUAUUGGAAUGGGGACGCUGGCCGAAAAAUAUAGAGAUGGUCCGAAGAGAGUCUAAAACAAGAACAGGGAGGGAGAAUAAGUUCUGUCCAAGAAAAUCAAGAGCGAGUUGGAUCACAUACCUGGACGAGAAAGGAA
RNAcentral lists this unclassified non-coding RNA (663 nucleotides) under Hevea brasiliensis (rubber tree). Lineage: Eukaryota; Viridiplantae; Streptophyta; Magnoliopsida; Malpighiales; Euphorbiaceae. The record is from RNAcentral.